CACUCCUGCGGGAGGCAGCAGUGGGGAAUUUUGGACAAUGGGCGAAAGCCUGAUCCAGCAAUGCCGCGUGAGUGAAGAAGGCCUUCGGGUUGUAAAGCUCUUUUGUCAGGGAAGAAACGGUGAAAGCUAAUAUCUUUUGCUAAUGACGGUACCUGAAGAAUAAGCACCGGCUAACUACGUGCCAGCAGCCGCGGUAAUACGUAGGGUGCAAGCGUUAAUCGGCAUUACUGGGCGUAAAGCGUGCGCAGGCGGUUUUGUAAGUCUGAUGUGAAAUCCCCGGGCUCAACCUGGGAAUUGCAUUGGAGACUGCAAGGCUAGAAUCUGGCAGAGGGGGGUAGAAUUCCACGUGUAGCAGUGAAAUGCGUAGAUAUGUGGAGGAACACCGAUGGCGAAGGCAGCCCCCUGGGUCAAGAUUGACGCUCAUGCACGAAAGCGUGGGGAGCAAACAGGAUUAGAUACCCUAGUAGUCCCA
RNAcentral lists this ribosomal RNA (472 nucleotides) under uncultured organism. Its description in RNAcentral is "partial 16S ribosomal RNA". It matches the Rfam family "Bacterial small subunit ribosomal RNA", at positions 334 to 797 of the family's 1533-position model. The record is from RNAcentral.